GUUUGAUCAUGGCUCAGGAUGAAACGCUAGCUACAGGCUUAACACAUGCAAGUCGAGGGGCAGCAUGAACUUAGCUUGCUAAGUUUGAUGGCGACCGGCGCACGGGUGAGUAACACGUAUCCAACCUGCCGAUGACUCGGGGAUAGCCUUUCGAAAGAAAGAUUAAUACCCGAUGGCAUAGUUCUUCCGCAUGGUAGAACUAUUAAAGAAUUUCGGUCAUCGAUGGGGAUGCGUUCCAUUAGGUUGUUGGCGGGGUAACGGCCCACCAAGCCUUCGAUGGAUAGGGGUUCUGAGAGGAAGGUCCCCCACAUUGGAACUGAGACACGGUCCAAACUCCUACGGGAGGCAGCAGUGAGGAAUAUUGGUCAAUGGGCGCGAGCCUGAACCAGCCAAGUAGCGUGAAGGAUGAAGGUCCUACGGAUUGUAAACUUCUUUUAUAAGGGAAUAAAGUCACCCACGUGUGGGUGUUUGUAUGUACCUUAUGAAUAAGCAUCGGCUAACUCCGUGCCAGCAGCCGCGGUAAUACGGAGGAUGCGAGCGUUAUCCGGAUUUAUUGGGUUUAAAGGGAGCGUAGACGGGUCGUUAAAUAAAGCUGUGAAAGUUUGGGGCUCAACCUUAAAAUUGCAGUUGAUACUGGCG
RNAcentral lists this ribosomal RNA (639 nucleotides) under uncultured bacterium. RNAcentral's name for it is "bacterial SSU rRNA". It matches the Rfam family "Bacterial small subunit ribosomal RNA", at positions 11 to 638 of the family's 1533-position model. The record is from RNAcentral.